CAAGAAUUUAUUUAAAACUUUUAAAUAAAUUUGACACAAAAUUUAUACAUCUAUUACAAUAGACAACUUAAAUACAAAUUUCAUAUAAUAUUCAUACAAUAUAUAGCUUAUAUACAACUUAUUUGCAAUUUCUAUACAAUAUUCAUACAAAAAUAAUUACAACUACAACAAGGUACAACUUAAAAUAUAAUUUUCGUACAACUUUAAUACAAGCUUGAUACAUAUAUACAAUGUUCUCCAGGCGGGCUCCUGACUGCUGAAACUUGAAAUGUAUGCAUCUUUUAUCCAGGCGGGAUCCUGACUUCUGAAACUUGAAAUGUAUACCUCUAUUAAAUUCAAUUUUAACAUACAACUAUAAUAUAUAUAUAUAUAUAUAUAUAUAUAUAAAUUAUUAAUUCAGUAUACAAUAACUCAAAAUUAUUAGUAGAAUUUUUGGCUCCAUCUCAAGAAAUUAUCCUUAUUUACUAUAUAGUCCUACGCAGGGGUGGAUUUAGGGGGCGCAAGGGUAUUCACCCAAACAUCCUUCGCCGAAAAAUUAUACUGUAUAUAUAAAAAAAUAAAAUUUAUUUGGUAACUACGAAGGGCUUACUUUAACUUGUUUUCAUGGCUGAAGACACAUAACUGUAACAAUUCCACCUCAAAUCCUUUUUCUGCACCAGGUGUACGUGGAGAGACAUUCCCAAAUGAUUCAAUUCUUAUCGGCAUAUGUUUUCCAACACCAUCAUCAUCACUACUCAAAUAUGUUGACGUCAUUAAAUGCCUAUUCAACCAUUCUACAGAAAGCGAAAAGCAGUACUGAAGCAGUCAUGGCGAAAAGCUUCCACCACUACUGUAGGAAAACAAUUUAAAGGUAGAAGACCUUUAAAUGUAAGAAGGAAAGAGAUUUUGUU
This 890-nucleotide long non-coding RNA is filed under the name Nicotiana benthamiana. Its description in RNAcentral is "long non-coding RNA (NBEN_LNC005650)". The record is from RNAcentral. Lineage: Eukaryota; Viridiplantae; Streptophyta; Magnoliopsida; Solanales; Solanaceae.